Molecule: ribosomal RNA, 261 nt
Filed under: uncultured archaeon
Lineage: Archaea
Description: partial 16S ribosomal RNA
Rfam family: Archaeal small subunit ribosomal RNA
Source: RNAcentral
CAGCCGUAAACUAUGCGCGUUAGGUGUAUCGGUGACCACGAGUUACCGAGGUGCCGAAGGGAAACCGUGAAACGUGCCGCCUGGGAAGUACGGUCGCAAGGCUGAAACUUAAAGGAAUUGGCGGGGGAGCACCGCAACGGGAGGAGCGUGCGGUUUAAUUGGACUCAACGCCGGGAAGCUCACCGGAUAAGACAGCGGAAUGAUUGCCGGGCUGAAGACUCUGCAUGACUAGCUGAGAGGAGGUGCAUGGCGUAGACGUCU